Long non-coding RNA from Mytilus trossulus (common blue mussel), 948 nucleotides. RefSeq lists it as uncharacterized. The record is from RefSeq and is a predicted model, not a curated record. The transcript has 4 exons. NCBI's taxonomy places the organism in Eukaryota, Metazoa, Mollusca, Bivalvia, Mytilida, Mytilidae.
UCUCCAUUUAAAAUAAAGUUUAUUGAUAGGGGCAUGAGAGUUUAUAUUGAGUUUUAUUUCUGAACUAGCAAGUAGUUUUUGAGGGAUGUUACUGCUAAAAUCUUUUUAAUGAUAGGAAAUACUGUUUGUUUGUUUUAGGAUACAAAAGAUAAAAUGUGAUAUGCUUUUAUAAAAUCUAAUGUUAAAAUGGAGAAUGAGGAAAAUUUAAUGAUUUGAACUCUUGGUUUAUUCAUCCUACUUUGAAACUAAAGAUGCGGGAGUUACCCAAAAGCAAAAAGGCACCAGAAAUGUGUAGAGAGACUGAAAGGCGAUACCAGUUAAGAUGCUUUUAUUUUGAAAUAACGUAAACGAAAUGCAUUUGUUCGUAACUUAACCAGAGUUGAAGAUGCUGUCUUGUUUCCCUUCAGUAUAUACUUGUAAAACAACGAAUUGGAAUAGCAGAUAAUGAAGAAUGAAAGAAGUCGUAGAUAAUUGGAAUAGCUUUUAGAAAUAGAAGAUGAUAAAGAAGACAAUCAAAGGGACAGACAAUUAAAAUAUUGUGGUUAAACCGCUGAUAGAAUAUGAAGUCCGGCCAUUGUUCUGUGGAUUUACCGGGUACAUUAAUAUGAAACCGAGGUCAAGCAGAUCAUCAGAAUGAAUUUUUCUCAGGAGCUGGAGCAGUCAUGCAUAGAGGGGUUAAUAACUAGGUCAAGAGAACCGGUCACUCAGAAGCACUUUACAGUUGGACAUUUCAAUUUAUUUCUAAUUAGUGACCAGAACAUUAUUUGUGUCAACGUUUGAUGGUGUUGACAUUUUAUAUUGCAGGUGUAUAAGGAUUUUCAUUAUUUGUUUUAGCCGUGAUUCAUAACUCUGGAUUGUUUGUAACAGAAAAACCGAGAAAAAACAAUUGAUAACGAAAUUAAACAAAUGUAUUAAAUAACAAAUACUUAUUAAAUGUGUCUUUCGUAA